This 253-nucleotide ribosomal RNA is filed under the name uncultured bacterium. RNAcentral's name for it is "partial 16S ribosomal RNA". It matches the Rfam family "Bacterial small subunit ribosomal RNA", at positions 524 to 776 of the family's 1533-position model. The record is from RNAcentral.
UACGGAAGGUGCAAGCAUUAAUCGGAUUUAUUGGGCGUAAAGGGCGCGUAGGCGGGUCAGCAAGUUAGAUGUGAAAUUUCGGGGCUUAACCCCGAAGCUGCAUUUAAAACUACUGAUCUUGAGGGUAGGCGGAGAAAAUGGAAUUCCACGUGUAGCGGUGAAAUGCGUAGAUACGUGGAGGAACACCGGUGGCGAAAGCGGUUUUCUAGCUUAUACCUGACGCUGAGGCGCGAGAGCAAGGGGAGCAAACAGG